GAAAAACCCCCAUUUGCUGCAGUCAUGCUGGAUGCAAUCAUACCAGAAGUACAAACUGCAGGCAGCUGGGGAGAUUCUUCACUGAACCUGGCAGUCGCAUCGGGAACCAGCUGUUGGCUGAAGGCAGAUCAUUUUAAGGACUGCAAUUCCAUUUUGGCACAGGCAAGAGCUGUCAAACUGCAACUAAAAAAACAACAGGUUGGUUCUGCUCGGAUGAUGCCAGACUAUUGAACUCAAAGUCGAGACUUGCAUUUGGUUUAUCUACU
Long non-coding RNA from Pogoniulus pusillus (Red-fronted tinkerbird), 266 nucleotides. RefSeq lists it as uncharacterized. Lineage: Eukaryota; Metazoa; Chordata; Aves; Piciformes; Lybiidae. The transcript has 3 exons. The record is from RefSeq and is a predicted model, not a curated record.